RNAcentral lists this ribosomal RNA (807 nucleotides) under uncultured bacterium. RNAcentral's name for it is "bacterial SSU rRNA". It matches the Rfam family "Bacterial small subunit ribosomal RNA", at positions 56 to 859 of the family's 1533-position model. The record is from RNAcentral.
UGCAAGUCGAGCGGUAGAGAGAAGCUUGCUUCUCUUGAGAGCGGCGGACGGGUGAGUAAUGCCUAGGAAUCUGCCUGGUAGUGGGGGAUAACGUUCGGAAACGGACGCUAAUACCGCAUACGUCCUACGGGAGAAAGCAGGGGACCUUCGGGCCUUGCGCUAUCAGAUGAGCCUAGGUCGGAUUAGCUAGUUGGUGAGGUAAUGGCUCACCAAGGCGACGAUCCGUAACUGGUCUGAGAGGAUGAUCAGUCACACUGGAACUGAGACACGGUCCAGACUCCUACGGGAGGCAGCAGUGGGGAAUAUUGGACAAUGGGCGAAAGCCUGAUCCAGCCAUGCCGCGUGUGUGAAGAAGGUCUUCGGAUUGUAAAGCACUUUAAGUUGGGAGGAAGGGCAGUUGCCUAAUACGUAACUGUUUUGACGUUACCGACAGAAUAAGCACCGGCUAACUCUGUGCCAGCAGCCGCGGUAAUACAGAGGGUGCAAGCGUUAAUCGGAAUUACUGGGCGUAAAGCGCGCGUAGGUGGUUUGUUAAGUUGGAUGUGAAAUCCCCGGGCUCAACCUGGGAACUGCAUUUGUGACUGCAUUGCUGGAGUGCGGCAGAGGGGGAUGGAAUUCCGCGUGUAGCAGUGAAAUGCGUAGAUAUGCGGAGGAACACCGAUGGCGAAGGCAAUCCCCUGGGCCUGCACUGACGCUCAUGCACGAAAGCGUGGGGAGCAAACAGGAUUAGAUACCCUGGUAGUCCACGCCCUAAACGAUGUCAACUGGUUGUUGGGUCUUCAUUGACUCAGUAACGAAGCUAACGCG